CCCUUAGAUGUUCGGGGCCGCACGCGCGCUACACUGAAGGAAUCAGCGCGUCUUUCUCCUUGUCCGAAAGGACUGGGUAACCCGCUGAACCUCCUUCGUGCUAGGGAUUGGGGCUUGUAAUUCUUCCCCAUGAACGAGGAAUUCCCAGUAAGCGCGAGUCAUAAGCUCGCGUUGAUUACGUCCCUGCCCUUUGUACACACCGCCCGUCGCUACUACCGAUUGGAUGGUUUAGUGAGAUCCUCGGAUUGGUCCCGGAGCGGCCUCUGGUCGUGCCGGAGUGCCGAAAAGAAUGUCGAACUUGAUCAUCUAGAGGAAGUAAAAGUCGUAACA
This 330-nucleotide ribosomal RNA is filed under the name uncultured eukaryote. RNAcentral describes it as "partial 18S ribosomal RNA". It matches the Rfam family "Eukaryotic small subunit ribosomal RNA", at positions 1470 to 1796 of the family's 1831-position model. The record is from RNAcentral.